This 262-nucleotide ribosomal RNA is filed under the name uncultured bacterium. RNAcentral describes it as "partial 16S ribosomal RNA". It matches the Rfam family "Bacterial small subunit ribosomal RNA", at positions 92 to 354 of the family's 1533-position model. The record is from RNAcentral.
UUAGUGGCGGACGGGUGAGUAACGCGUGGGUAACCUGCCUUACACAGGGGGAUAACACUUAGAAAUAGGUGCUAAAACCGCAUAAGCGCACAGCUUCGCAUGAAGCGGUGUGAAAAACUCCGGUGGUACAGGAUGGGCCCGCGUCUGAUUAGCCAGUUGGCAGGGUAACGGCCUACCAAAGCGACGAUCAGUAGCCGGCCUGAGAGGGCGGACGGCCACACUGGGACUGAGACACGGCCCAGACUCCUACGGAAGGCAGCAG